ACGAGCGCUGGCGGCGUGCUUAACACAUGCAAGUCGAGCGGAAAGGCCACUUCGGUGGUACUCGAGCGGCGAACGGGUGAGUAACACGUGAGUAAUCUGCCCCCCACUUUGGGAUAGCCACCGGAAACGGUGAUUAAUACCGGAUAUGACCUCGAUCCGCAUGGGUUGGGGUGGAAAGUUUUUCGGUGGGGGAUGUGCUCGCGGCCUAUCAGCUUGAUGGUGGGGUAAUGGCCUACCAUGGCUUCGACGGGUAGCCGGCCUGAGAGGGUGACCGGCCACACUGGGACUGAGACACGGCCCAGACUCCUACGGGAGGCAGCAGUGGGGAAUAUUGGACAAUGGGCGGAAGCCUGAUCCAGCAACGCCGCGUGAGGGAUGACGGCCUUCGGGUUGUAAACCUCUUUCAGUACCGACGAAGCGAAAGUGACGGUAGGUACAGAAGAAGCACCGGCCAACUACGU
This 461-nucleotide ribosomal RNA is filed under the name uncultured bacterium. Its description in RNAcentral is "bacterial SSU rRNA". It matches the Rfam family "Bacterial small subunit ribosomal RNA", at positions 29 to 506 of the family's 1533-position model. The record is from RNAcentral.